This 274-nucleotide ribosomal RNA is filed under the name uncultured bacterium. Its description in RNAcentral is "partial 16S ribosomal RNA". It matches the Rfam family "Bacterial small subunit ribosomal RNA", at positions 523 to 796 of the family's 1533-position model. The record is from RNAcentral.
AUACGAGGGGUGCAUGCGUUAAUCGGAAUUACUGGGCGUAAAGCGUUCGUAGGCGGUUUGUUAAGCAAGAUGUGAAAGCCCAGGGCUCAACCUUGGAACUGCAUUUUGAACUGGCAAACUAGAGUACUGUAGAGGGUGGUGGAAUUUCCAGUGUAGCGGUGAAAUGCGUAGAGAUUGGAAGGAACAUCAGUGGCGAAGGCGGCCACCUGGACAGAUACUGACGCUGAGGAACGAAAGCGUGGGGAGCAAACAGGAUUAGAAACCCUAGUAGUCC